This 29-nucleotide non-coding RNA is filed under the name Mus musculus (house mouse). The record is from RNAcentral. Lineage: Eukaryota; Metazoa; Chordata; Mammalia; Rodentia; Muridae.
UAGUGUGCUUUGUGAGUAAGACUGAAAAU